Molecule: ribosomal RNA, 738 nt
Filed under: Salmonella enterica subsp. enterica serovar Stanley
Lineage: Bacteria; Pseudomonadati; Pseudomonadota; Gammaproteobacteria; Enterobacterales; Enterobacteriaceae
Description: partial 23S ribosomal RNA
Rfam family: Bacterial large subunit ribosomal RNA
Source: RNAcentral
GUGGACGCCAGUCUGCGUGGAGCCGACCUUGAAAUACCACCCUUUAAUGUUUGAUGUUCUAACGUGGACCCGUAAUCCGGGUUGCGGACAGUGUCUGGUGGGUAGUUUGACUGGGGCGGUCUCCUCCUAAAGAGUAACGGAGGAGCACGAAGGUUGGCUAAUCCUGGUCGGACAUCAGGAGGUUAGUGCAAUGGCAUAAGCCAGCUUGACUGCGAGCGUGACGGCGCGAGCAGGUGCGAAAGCAGGUCAUAGUGAUCCGGUGGUUCUGAAUGGAAGGGCCAUCGCUCAACGGAUAAAAGGUACUCCGGGGAUAACAGGCUGAUACCGCCCAAGAGUUCAUAUCGACGGCGGUGUUUGGCACCUCGAUGUCGGCUCAUCACAUCCUGGGGCUGAAGUAGGUCCCAAGGGUAUGGCUGUUCGCCAUUUAAAGUGGUACGCGAGCUGGGUUUAGAACGUCGUGAGACAGUUCGGUCCCUAUCUGCCGUGGGCGCUGGAGAACUGAGGGGGGCUGCUCCUAGUACGAGAGGACCGGAGUGGACGCAUCACUGGUGUUCGGGUUGUCAUGCCAAUGGCACUGCCCGGUAGCUACAUGCGGAAGAGAUAAGUGCUGAAAGCAUCUAAGCACGAAACUUGCCCCGAGAUGAGUUCUCCCUGAGACUUAGAGUCUCCUGAAGGAACGUUGAAGACGACGACGUUGAUAGGCCGGGUGUGUAAGCGCAGCGAUGCGUUGAGCUAACC